CCUACGGGAGGCAGCAGUGAGGAAUAUUGGUCAAUGGACGAGAGCCUGAACCAGCCAAGUAGCGUGAAGGAUGACUGCCCUAUGGGUUGUAAACUUCUUUUAUCGGGGAAUAAAACGUCCCACGUGUGGGAUUUUGUAUGUACCAUAUGAAUAAGCAUCGGCUAACUCCGUGCCAGCAGCCGCGGUAAUACGGAGGAUCCGAGCGUUAUCCGGAUUUAUUGGGUUUAAAGGGUGCGUAGGCGGAUUGGUAAGUCAGUUGUGAAAGUUGGCGGCUCAACCGUAGAAUUGCAGUUGAAACUGGCAGUCUUGAGUACGGGAGAGGUGGGCGGAAUUCGUGGUGUAGCGGUGAAAUGCUUAGAUAUCACGAAGAACUCCGAUUGCGAAGGCAGUACACUGGACUGCAACUGACGCUGAGGCACGAAAGUGUGGGUAUCGAACAGGAUUAGAUACCCCGGUAGUC
RNAcentral lists this ribosomal RNA (460 nucleotides) under uncultured bacterium. Its description in RNAcentral is "partial 16S ribosomal RNA". It matches the Rfam family "Bacterial small subunit ribosomal RNA", at positions 338 to 795 of the family's 1533-position model. The record is from RNAcentral.